RNAcentral lists this ribosomal RNA (468 nucleotides) under uncultured bacterium. RNAcentral's name for it is "partial 16S ribosomal RNA". It matches the Rfam family "Bacterial small subunit ribosomal RNA", at positions 28 to 507 of the family's 1533-position model. The record is from RNAcentral.
GACGAACGCUGGCGGCGUGCUUAACACAUGCAAGUCGAACGGAAAGGCCCUGCUUUUGUGGGGUGCUCGAGUGGCGAACGGGUGAGUAACACGUGAGUAACCUGCCCUUGACUUUGGGAUAACUUCAGGAAACUGGGGCUAAUACCGGAUAGGAGCUCCUGCUGCAUGGUGGGGGUUGGAAAGUUUCGGCGGUUGGUGAUGGACUCGCGGCUUAUCAGCUUGUUGGUGGGGUAGUGGCUUACCAAGGCUUUGACGGGUAGCCGGCCUGAGAGGGUGACCGGCCACAUUGGGACUGAGAUACGGCCCAGACUCCUACGGGAGGCAGAAGUGGGGAAUAUUGCACAAUGGGCGGAAGCCUGAUGCAGUAACGCCGCGUGCGGGAUGACGGCCUUCGGGUUGUAAACCGCUUUCGCCUGUGACGAAGCGUGAGUGACGGUAAUGGGUAAAGAAGCACCGGCUAACUACGUG